UUUUUUAUUUACCAGUAUUUCUUUCAUUUCCACUUUCAUUCUGUUUUCUAUUUUGUUUUAUUACAAUGGGUACGCGAGUCUAAAGAUAAAUGAAAGUAAGAAGAAUAGGAACGAGAAUUA
RNAcentral lists this non-coding RNA (120 nucleotides) under Aurantiochytrium limacinum. The record is from RNAcentral. Lineage: Eukaryota; Bigyra; Thraustochytrida; Thraustochytriidae.